Molecule: ribosomal RNA, 648 nt
Filed under: Triticum aestivum (bread wheat)
Lineage: Eukaryota; Viridiplantae; Streptophyta; Magnoliopsida; Poales; Poaceae
Description: partial small subunit ribosomal RNA
Source: RNAcentral
AUGUGCAGGAAAAUGAAGGCGCGGGAGCGCGACACCGCCGAGGUGGAUGCGCUGCGGGCGGAGCUACGCAAGGCCAAGGCCGUGCUCGCCGAGACCAAGGCGGACGCGGGGAUUGCGGCGGCGGCGGCGCGUGGGCUCCGGGAGGAGUUGGAUAAGAAAGUUACAAACCUAGAGAAACAGUACAAGUUUUCUUCCGCGCCUUCGAGCUCCUCGUCGCCGACGAGCGCCUGCGCAUCCAGAUUUACUAUUCCAGGGAGGGCCGCUGGGGCCCGUCCGCGCGGCGCUCCCCCGCCGCCAGUCCAGGCCGUUCCACGACUCCUACCCCCUGGUCAUCGGCCGCACCGUCCACUGGCUGUGCAACACUGCAAUCCGGAGCCGCUGCCGCCGGGGAGGCACCUGUCUGGCCCGGAGCCGUACAUCGUCGCCGUGGACGUCGACACCAUGGAGGCCACCGUGAUUGAUCUGCCGCGGGGCUGCACUAGCAGAAUGACUGCCUCUAUGAGCCACCGGGGCCUCCUCCUGGCCGCUUCGGUGGACGGGAGCUCAAGGUUGUGGUCUCGGAGACCCAGGUUAUAUCAAUGUGGACCAUGUUACCACCCAUCGAGGGGGAGCCGAGCUCGCCGCCGAGAUGGAUCCGGCAGGUGCUGA